UCCGGUUUGGCACCGGCAGUCUCCCUAGAGUUCCCGGCAUUAUCCGCUGGCAACUAAGGACAGGGGUUGCGCUCGUUGCGCCACUUAAGGCAACACCUCACGGCACGAGCUGACGACAGCCAUGCACCACCUGUGCAGGCUCCGAAGAGCACCCGCUUUCACGGGUUUCACCCUGCAUGUCAAGCCCAGGUAAGGUGGGGAUGACGUAGACGUCAUAACC
This 220-nucleotide unclassified non-coding RNA is filed under the name uncultured Actinomycetes bacterium. RNAcentral describes it as "uncultured actinobacterium contains 16S-23S intergenic spacer region". The record is from RNAcentral. Lineage: Bacteria; Bacillati; Actinomycetota; Actinomycetes.